This 785-nucleotide non-coding RNA is filed under the name Isoscelipteron pectinatum. Lineage: Eukaryota; Metazoa; Arthropoda; Insecta; Neuroptera; Berothidae. The record is from RNAcentral.
UUAAAGUUUGAUUUUAGCUAAAAAUUUAUUUAAUUUAUGAAUUAUAUGAAAAUUAUUGUGGGAGUAUUUAUAAAUUUUAAAAAUUUAUUAUUAUUUAAUCUCAGUAUAAAAAAUUAAUAAAUGAAAGAAAUUUUGAAUUAGUAAUAAAUUUUAUUAUAGGAUAAAUUUGUGCCAGCAUCUGCGGUUAUACAAAUUAUAAAAGUAAAUUUUAUUAGUAAUUAGUUAAAUUAAUUUUUUGAAAUUAAAUUUUAAUUUUUAGGUAAAAUUUUAAUUUAUAUUUAAUUUUAAUUAUAAAUAUAUUGAAACUAAUAAAUUUUAAAUAUAAACUAGGAUUAGAUACCCUAUUAUUUAAAAUAAAUUUUAAUUUACUAAGGUAGUAUUAGUUAAAGGCUUUAAACUUAAAAAAUUUGGCGGUAUUUUAGUCUAUUUAGAGGAACUUGUUCCGUAAUUGAUAGUCCACGAUUAAUUUUACUAAUUUUUGUAUAAUUUGUAUAUCGUCGUUAUAAGAAUAUUUUUUUAGAAUUAUAAUAUUUUAGUAAUUUAAUAAAAUUAUAUUUCAGAUCAAGAUGCAGUUAAUGAAUUAGUGGAAAUGAGUUACAAUAAAUUAAUUUAUAUGAAUAAAUUAUUGAAAUAUAAAAUUGAAGGUGGAUUUAAUAGUAAAAUUAAUUAUUUAAUUAAUUUGAUUAUAGCUCUAAAAUAUGUACAUAUCGCCCGUCGCUCUUUUUAUUUUUAAAAAAGAUAAGUCGUAACAUAGUAGAUGUACUGGAAAGUGUAUCUAGAAUGAC